AUUGAACGCUGGCGGCAGGCCUAACACAUGCAAGUCGAGCGGAUGAAGGGAGCUUGCUCCUGGAUUCAGCGGCGGACGGGUGAGUAAUGCCUAGGAAUCUGCCUGGAAGUGGGGGAUAACGUCCGGAAACGGGCGCUAAUACCGCAUACGUCCUGAGGGAGAAAGUGGGGGAUCUUCGGACCUCACGCUAUCAGAUGAGCCUAGGUCGGAUUAGCUAGUUGGUGGGGUAAAGGCCUACCAAGGCGACGAUCCGUAACUGGUCUGAGAGGAUGAGCAGUCACACUGGAACUGAGACACGGUCCAGACUCCUACGGGAGGCAGCAGUCGGGAAUAUUGGACGAUGGGCGAAAGCCUGAUCCAGCCAUGCCGCGUGUGUGAAGAAGGUCUUCGGAUUGGAAAGCACUUUAAGUUGGGAGGAAGGGCAGUAAGUUAAUACCUUGCUGUUUUGACGUUACCAACAGAAUAAGCACCGGCUAACUUCGUG
RNAcentral lists this ribosomal RNA (484 nucleotides) under uncultured bacterium. RNAcentral describes it as "partial 16S ribosomal RNA". It matches the Rfam family "Bacterial small subunit ribosomal RNA", at positions 30 to 507 of the family's 1533-position model. The record is from RNAcentral.